AUUGAACGCUGGCGGCAGGCUUAACACAUGCAAGUCGAACGAGUGGCGGACGGGUGAGUAAUGCUUGGGAAUCUAGCUUAUGGAGGGGGAUAACUACGGGAAACUGUAGCUAAUACCGCGUACCAUAGGAUGAGCCCAAGUGGGAUUAGGUAGUGGGGGGGUAAAGGCUUACCAAGCCGACGAUCUCUAGCUGGUCUGAGAGGAUGACAAGCAAAACUGGUACUGGAACACGGCCCAAACUCCUACGGGAGGCAGCCGUGGGGAAACAUCCGAAAUGGACGAAAGUUGACGGAGCAACGCCGCGGGAGUGAUGAAGGCCUUCGGGUUGUAAAGCUCUGUUAAUCGGGAGACGGUACCGGAAUAGGAAGCCACGGCUAACUACGUGCCAGCAGCCGCGGUAAUAC
RNAcentral lists this ribosomal RNA (404 nucleotides) under uncultured bacterium. Its description in RNAcentral is "partial 16S ribosomal RNA". It matches the Rfam family "Bacterial small subunit ribosomal RNA", at positions 29 to 526 of the family's 1533-position model. The record is from RNAcentral.